GUUUUAAUAAUUUAAUUAAAAAAUAUUGAUUUUGUAAAUCAAAAAUAAGACAUACUUUUAAGACU
This 65-nucleotide transfer RNA is filed under the name Staphylinoidea sp. 12 KM-2017. RNAcentral describes it as "tRNA-Thr". Lineage: Eukaryota; Metazoa; Arthropoda; Insecta; Coleoptera. The record is from RNAcentral.